This 425-nucleotide ribosomal RNA is filed under the name uncultured bacterium. RNAcentral's name for it is "partial 16S ribosomal RNA". It matches the Rfam family "Bacterial small subunit ribosomal RNA", at positions 354 to 796 of the family's 1533-position model. The record is from RNAcentral.
GUGGGGAAUAUUGGACAAUGGGCGCAAGCCUGAUCCAGCCAUGCCGCGUGAGUGAUGAAGGCCUUAGGGUUGUAAAGCUCUUUCAGUGGGGACGAUAAUGACGGUACCCACAGAAGAAGCCCCGGCUAACUUCGUGCCAGCAGCCGCGGUAAUACGAAGGGGGCUAGCGUUGCUCGGAUUUACUGGGCGUAAAGCGCACGUAGGCGGAGCGUUAAGUCGGGGGUGAAAUCCUGGAGCUCAACUCCAGAACUGCCUUCGAUACUGGCGAUAUUGAGUCCGGAAGAGGUGAGUGGAACUCCUAGUGUAGAGGUGGAAUUCGUAGAUAUUAGGAAGAACACCAGUGGCGAAGGCGGCUCACUGGUCCGGUACUGACGCUGAGGUGCGAAAGCGUGGGGAGCAAACAGGAUUAGAUACCCGAGUAGUCC